CCUACGGGCGGCAGCAGUGGGGAAUAUUGGACAAUGGGCGAAAGCCUGAUCCAGCCAUGCCGCGUGUGUGAAGAAGGCCUUCGGGUUGUAAAGCACUUUCAGUGGGGAAGAAAGCCUUGGGGCUAAUACCCUCGAGGAAGGACAUCACCCACAGAAGAAGCACCGGCUAACUCCGUGCCAGCAGCCGCGGUAAUACGGAGGGUGCGAGCGUUAAUCGGAAUUACUGGGCGUAAAGCGCGCGUAGGCGGUCUGAUAAGCCGGUUGUGAAAGCCCCGGGCUCAACCUGGGAACGGCAUCCGGAACUGUCAGGCUAGAGUGCAGGAGAGGAAGGUAGAAUUCCCGGUGUAGCGGUGAAAUGCGUAGAGAUCGGGAGGAAUACCAGUGGCGAAGGCGGCCUUCUGGACUGACACUGACGCUGAGGUGCGAAAGCGUGGGUAGCAAACAGGAUUAGAUACCCAGUAGUC
RNAcentral lists this ribosomal RNA (464 nucleotides) under Vreelandella stevensii. Its description in RNAcentral is "partial 16S ribosomal RNA". It matches the Rfam family "Bacterial small subunit ribosomal RNA", at positions 338 to 795 of the family's 1533-position model. The record is from RNAcentral. Lineage: Bacteria; Pseudomonadati; Pseudomonadota; Gammaproteobacteria; Oceanospirillales; Halomonadaceae.